Long non-coding RNA from Taeniopygia guttata (zebra finch), 2118 nucleotides. The record is from Ensembl. Lineage: Eukaryota; Metazoa; Chordata; Aves; Passeriformes; Estrildidae.
AUGGGGAUUGGAGACCACCCAAAAUGGGUUAAUGGGGGUUGGAGACCACCCAAACCCCAAAGUGACCACCCAAAAGGGUUAAUGGGGAUUGGAGAUCCCAAAAAUGGGUUAACGGGGGUUGGAGACCACCCAGACCUCCAAAGUGACCACCCACCCACCCACCAUGGGUCAGCAGGGUUGGAGGAUGAGGAUGAGGAUGAGGAUGAGGAUGACGACAAAGGGGACACUGAGGAUGAUGAGGGCGAGGAUGAGGAUGGCCACAAUGAGAACACUGAGAAUAAGGGAGACGAAGAUGAGGAUGAGGAUGGUGACAAUGACACUGAGAGGGGUGAGGGAGAGGAUGGUGAGGCCGAAGAUGAUGAUGAGGAGAACGGCCAUGACCGUGAGAGUGAGGAUGAAGAUGAUGGCUACAAUGAGGACCCUGAGAAUGAGGAGGACAAGGAGGGGGAGCACAAGAAUGAUGAUGAUGAUGAAGAUGAUGAAGAUGAUGAUGAUGAACAUGAUGAUAACGAUGAUGACGUUGAUGAUGAAGAAGAGAAUGGUGAUGACUACGAGGGUGAACACAAGGGUGGUGGCAACAGGGACACUGAAGAUGAUGAGGAUGAUGAGGAUGGUGACAAUGACACCGAGGAUGAUGAGGAUGAUGAGGAUGAUGAGGAUGAAGAUGGCCAUGAUGAGAACACCGAAAAUGAUGAGGAAGAUGAGGACGGUAACGAUGACACCGAGGACGAUGAAGAUGAAGAUGAAGAUGGCCAUGAUGAGGAUGGUGAAGAUGAGAAUGAGGAUGGGGACCAUGACACCGAGGAUGAUGAGGAUGAUGAGGAUGAUGAGGAUGAAGAUGGCCAUGAUGAGGGCACUGAAGAUGAGAAUGAGGAUGGGGACCAUGACACGGAGGAUGAUGAGGAUGAUGAAGAUGGUGAUAAUGGAAGUGAGGAUGAGAAUGAUGAAGAUGGUGACAACGACACCGACAAUGAGAAUGAUGAGGAUGAGGAUGGUGACAAUGACGCCGAUGAAGAAGAUGGUGACAGCGACACCAAUGGUGAGGAUGGUGACCAUGACACCAAUGAUGAAAAUGAAGAUGGUGAUAAGGACACUGAUAAUGAGGAUGAUGAAGAUGGUGACAAUGACACCAACGAUGAAGAUGGUGACAACACCAAUGGUGGAGGUGAUAAAGAUGGUGACAAUGGCACCAACAAUGAAGAUGAUGAAGAUGAUGAGGAUGGUGACAACGACACCGACGGUGAAGAUGGUGACAAUGACACCAACAAUGAGGAUGAUGAAGAUGACAAUGACACUGAUGAUGAACAUGAUGACGACGACACUGACAAUGAAUAUGAUGAGGAUGAGGAUGAUGAAGAUGACAAUGACACUGAUGAUGAAGAUGAUGAAGAUGGUGAGAACGACACUGACAAUGACGAUGAUGAGGAUGAGGAUGGUGACAAUGACACUGACAAUGAGGAUGAUGAAGAUGGUGACAAUGGCACCAACAAUGAGGAUGAUGAAGAUGACAAUGACACUGAUAAUGAAGAUGAUGAAGAUGGUGACAACGACACUGACAAUGACGAUGAUGAGGAUGAGGAUGGUAACAAUGACACUGAUGAUGAAGAUGAUGAAGAUGGUGACAACGACACUGACAAUGAUGAUGAUGAGGAUGAGGAUGGCGGCAAUGACACUGAUGAUGAAGAUGAUGAAGAUGAUGACAAUGACACUGACAAUGACGAUGAUGAGGAUGAGGAUGGUGACAAUGACACUGAUGAUGAAGAUGAUGAAGAUGAUGAAAACAACACUGACAAUGACGAUGAUGAGGAUGAGGAUGGCGACAAUGACACUGAUGAUGAAUAUGAUGAAGAUGACAACAACCCGCUCGCCCCACUGACCUCUCCCUCAGCGCCGGAGCGGAACUGCGGCAGCGUCUCCAGGCAGAAGACCACGAUGGACACCAGGAUGACCAGCACGGACAGCAGGGCCACCACCCGCGCGGCCGGCGAGCUCUCGGGGUGCUCGCACAGCAGCCACGCCCGCCGCCUCAAACCGCCGCGCGGCAACGCCGGCGGCUCCUCCACCGAGAAGCCUUCGGCCUCGCGCAGCCGCUCCUCCGCCUCGUCGCCCAGCUGGUAG